This 162-nucleotide small nuclear RNA is filed under the name Eucalyptus grandis. RNAcentral describes it as "U1 spliceosomal RNA". It matches the Rfam family "U1 spliceosomal RNA". Rfam says of the family: U1 is a small nuclear RNA (snRNA) component of the spliceosome (involved in pre-mRNA splicing). Lineage: Eukaryota; Viridiplantae; Streptophyta; Magnoliopsida; Myrtales; Myrtaceae. The record is from Rfam by way of RNAcentral.
CAACAGACCGGGAUGGGGUCGUUGGGUGAUCAAGAAUGCCCAUGGCCAAGGUCAAAGUCCUCCAUUCCACUUUGGUGGUGCCUUGGCCUUCGGACUGCUCGUUGUAGCAGUGCCUACGUCCUACUUUUUGGCAGCAGGGCCCCGCAUUCGUGUGGCCCUUAA